Molecule: unclassified non-coding RNA, 268 nt
Filed under: uncultured fungus
Lineage: Eukaryota; Fungi
Description: partial contains 5.8S ribosomal RNA, internal transcribed spacer 2, and large subunit ribosomal RNA
Source: RNAcentral
AACGCACAUUGCGCCCAUUAGUAUUCUAGUGGGCAUGCCUGUUCGAGCGUCAUUAAGUCCACUUAAGCCUAGCUUAGUGUUGGGAGACUGCUCUAGCGGUGCUACCCUGUAGCUACCCUGCAGCUCCUUAAAGACAGCGGCGGAGUCGUGUUUAUCCUCUGAGCUUAGUAAAUCAUUCUAGCUUUCGAGAGUAUCACUUCACCUGCCGUUAAACCACCCAAUUUUUAUGGUUGACCUCGGAUCAGGUAGGAAUACCCGCUGAACUUAA